GACGAACGCUGGCGGCGUGCCUAAUACAUGCAAGUUGAGCGCUGAAGGUUGGUACUUGUACCGACUGGAUGAGCAGCGAACGGGUGAGUAACGCGUGGGGAAUCUGCCUUUGAGCGGGGGACAACAUUUGGAAACGAAUGCUAAUACCGCAUAAAAACUUUAAACACAAGUUUUAAGUUUGAAAGAUGCAAUUGCAUCACUCAAAGAUGAUCCCGCGUUGUAUUAGCUAGUUGGUGAGGUAAAGGCUCACCAAGGCGAUGAUACAUAGCCGACCUGAGAGGGUGAUCGGCCACAUUGGGACUGAGACACGGCCCAAACUCCUACGGGAGGCAGCAGUAGGGAAUCUUCGGCAAUGGACGAAAGUCUGACCGAGCAACGCCGCGUGAGUGAAGAAGGUUUUCGGAUCGUAAAACUCUGUUGGUAGAGAAGAACGUUGGUGAGAGUGGAAAGCUCAUCAAGUGACGGUAACUACCCAGAGAGGGACGGCUAACUACGUG
RNAcentral lists this ribosomal RNA (497 nucleotides) under uncultured bacterium. Its description in RNAcentral is "partial 16S ribosomal RNA". It matches the Rfam family "Bacterial small subunit ribosomal RNA", at positions 28 to 507 of the family's 1533-position model. The record is from RNAcentral.